RNAcentral lists this microRNA precursor (71 nucleotides) under Echinops telfairi (small Madagascar hedgehog). RNAcentral's name for it is "miRNA (ENSETEG00000026168.1)". The record is from RNAcentral. Lineage: Eukaryota; Metazoa; Chordata; Mammalia; Afrosoricida; Tenrecidae.
UGACUGCUCUGUUACCACAGGCCUGGUGGUGGUGGUGGGAGGGGGGGCGGUGGGGAGAGGGGGCAGGGAUG